UUGUGCCUCUCAUUCAUCAUUCCUUUACUAGAACAUACCUGAUAACAUAUUCUCUGAAAAGAAGAAAAAAUUGUAGUAAUACUGCCUCUUGUGUGUUUUUAUCUUUUAUUGUUAAGCCGUGUAAGCCCCAUUUAGAGGCGCCGGUGGCUGCCGGCCCUCCUCUUGGUGGGGCGCCGGGAUCCCCCAGCCGAGCGAUUCCUGCCCCGGCCGCGAGAGGAGGAGCCGCGGCUGCGGCCCUGCUCAGAGGGACCGGCUGCCUCGGAACCCGGCUCGCCGGGACCUCUGCCGAGGGCCCCGCUGGACGUGCCGGGGAGCUCCUCCGCGUCGGGACCCGCGGAGCUGCCGGAGGGAGAGGUGCUGGGGGCAACGGUCCCCUGAGGAGAUGUGGAGGGACCAGACGGGGCUGGGGGGCCAUCCUCGUGCUCCUGGGCAGCACUGGGCUCUUCGGGCCCGUCCUCCUGCUCCUGGGCAGCGCUGGCAUCUUCGAGGCCCAGCAGCCUCCGGGCCUCCUGGCCGCACCGGCUCACGAUGACUUCGAUGAGCGCGUCCAUGAAUGCUGCCGUGAUAGGUCCCAGGGUGGGCUGUGCGUGGUACACCAGGGCAUCCCUGUUCAGCCCCACUCGGCACAGAAGAGCCAGGAUCACACUCUCCAGCCCACAGAUCUGCCACCAGGGCAGCUCCUGGAUCUGGGAGAAGAUGUCCUGUAUCCAGGGCUGCACUGGGAAGAGGAGGUCACGUCUCUCCCUGAAGAGUGCUGCCCACUCCUCGGGCAGGAGGCCACCCACUCUCGCUGCUCCCACAUCCCUCUGCACAGCUGGCAGUGGAGCAGAUGCCGCAGCGCCUCUGCGGCCGGUGGUGGUGCUGAAGCUGACGGGCACCGGCACUGCGGGCGGGGAGACGAUGCAGUCCACGAACUGAUUGUCUCCCCGCACGCAGACCCGGAUGGUCCGCAUGGCCGUCCUGCACAGCGGGCAGCUGUCCCUCAGCUUCGCCCACCGAUGGAUGCAGCCCAGGCAGAAUGUGUGAUUACAUGGAAUUGCAUGGGCCACGUCCUGUCGCACAUCGCGACAGAUGGAACAUGUCCACUCCUCUCCUGCAGACAUGUUCCUCUCGCUGCAGCUGUCCGGGAGAACUGAGGAUGACGAGCUGUUCUCCUUCACCAGAGCUGCAGCGGUGGUGUCUCACUGCAAGAGGAAGAGAGGCCACAGUCACUCGCUGUUGUCCCAGGGUGUGAAAGUCCUCAGCAGGAAGCCCUGCCAAGCCCAGGACUGGGCCGUCUCGUGCUCCCCGCUGGCACAAGGCCGGGCUCCCCACGGCUGCCCUGAGGGACCCACAUGUCCCCGCACCACUCACCUCCGCUGCUGCGGGUGCACUCAGUAGAGUCCCAGCUGCCUGCACUGGGCAGGGCCGGGGAAACAGAAGCGAUGCUGUGGGUCAGGCACUGAGAUGCUGCGAGCAGCCCCAGGCACGACCCAGCACAGCACAGCCAAAACCUUGCUCGAAGAACCUCCAAGCCUCGCAGAGCUGCUCAGCAGGGUCCAGGAACGAGCCAGACUGAGCCAGGCUCUGCCCGCACCCCACUAUGAGCAGUGAGGGCUGAGCAGUCACAAUCCGUCACCCGGUGAUGUCACAGCCUGUUGCUGGGGGUCAUCACCAUGGGCUGUCCGCCCACACAGCACCCCAGUUUCAAGAUGCUAUUUUCUUUUCCUGUUCCUAAUUGGCUGUACCUUCCUUUUCAUUCCAGUCCACCUUUUAUGCAUUACAAUUGACACUAAUACAUAGAACUUUUAUUUGAUUAGAUCAACUCAUAUACAUCCUCUGUUUCUUCAGUAAUAAACUGUAGGUUUUUCACUAGUGUGUUACA
RNAcentral lists this long non-coding RNA (1864 nucleotides) under Coturnix japonica (Japanese quail). RNAcentral's name for it is "lncRNA (ENSCJPG00005009657.1)". Lineage: Eukaryota; Metazoa; Chordata; Aves; Galliformes; Phasianidae. The record is from RNAcentral.